This 701-nucleotide ribosomal RNA is filed under the name uncultured fungus. RNAcentral's name for it is "SSU rRNA". It matches the Rfam family "Eukaryotic small subunit ribosomal RNA", at positions 391 to 1093 of the family's 1831-position model. Lineage: Eukaryota; Fungi. The record is from RNAcentral.
GGAGCCUGAGAAACGGCUACCACAUCCAAGGAUGGCAGCAGGCGCGCAAAUUACCCAAUCCCGACACGGGGAGGUAGUGACAAUAAAUAACAAUACGGGGUUCUUUAGGAUCUCGUAAUUGGAAUGAGUACAAUUUAAAUCUCUUAACGAGGAACAAUUGGAGGGCAAGUCUGGUGCCAGCAGCCGCGGUAAUUCCAGCUCCAAUAGCGUAUAUUAAAGUUGUUGCAGUUAAAAAGCUCGUAGUUGAAUUUCGGGGUUAGUAGGUUGGUCAUGCCUCUGGUAUGUACUGGUCUCACUGAUUCCUCCUUCCUUAUGAACCGUAAUGCCAUUAAUUUGGUGUUGCGGGGAAUUUGGACUGUUACUUUGAAAAAAUUAGAGUGUUUAAAGUAAGCUAACGCUUGAAUACAUUAGCAUGGAAUAAUGAAAUAGGACGUUCGAUCUUAUUUUGUUGGUUUCUAGGAUUGACGUAAUGAUUAAUAGGGAUAGUUGGGGGCAUUAGUAUUCAAUUGUCAGAGGUGAAAUUCUUGGAUUUAUUGAAGACUAACUACUGCGAAAGCAUUUGCCAAGGAUGUUUUCAUUAAUCAAGAACGAAAGUUAGGGGAUCGAAGACGAUCAGAUACCGUCGUAGUCUUAACCAUAAACUAUGCCGACUAGGGAUCGGAUGAUGUUAAUUUUUUAAUGACUCAUUCGGCGCCUUACGG